Molecule: ribosomal RNA, 727 nt
Filed under: Enterococcus faecium
Lineage: Bacteria; Bacillati; Bacillota; Bacilli; Lactobacillales; Enterococcaceae
Description: bacterial SSU rRNA
Rfam family: Bacterial small subunit ribosomal RNA
Source: RNAcentral
UAGAGAGUUUGUCCAGGCUUCUUUUUCACCGGAGCUUGCUCCACCGGAAAAAGAGGAGUGGCGAACGGGUGAGUAACACGUGGGUAACCUGCCCAUCAGAAGGGGAUAACACUUGGAAUCAGGUGCUAAUACCGUAUAACAAUCGAAACCGCAUGGUUUUGAUUUGAAAGGCGCUUUCGGGUGUCGCUGAUGGAUGGACCCGCGGUGCAUUAGCUAGUUGGUGAGGUAACGGCUCACCAAGGCCACGAUGCAUAGCCGACCUGAGAGGGUGAUCGGCCACAUUGGGACUGAGACACGGCCCAAACUCCUACGGGAGGCAGCAGUAGGGAAUCUUCGGCAAUGGACGAAAGUCUGACCGAGCAACGCCGCGUGAGUGAAGAAGGUAUUCGGAUCGUAAAACUCUGUUGUUAGAGGAGAACAAGGAUGAGAGUAACUGUUCAUCCCUUGACGGUAUCUAACCAGAAAGCCACGGCUAACUACGUGCCAGCAGCCGCGGUAAUAGGUAGGUGGCAAGCGUUGUCCGGAUUUAUUGGGCGUUAAGCGAGCGCAGGCGGUUUCUUAAGUCUGAUGUGAAAGCCCCCGGCUCAACCGGGGAGGGUCAUUGGAAACUGGGAGACUUGAGUGCAGAAGAGGAGAGUGGAAUUCCAUGUGUAGCGGUGAUAUGCGUAGAUAUAUGGAGGAACACCAGUGGCGAAGGCGGCUGUCUGGUCUCUAACUGACGCUGAUC